Molecule: long non-coding RNA, 9523 nt
Filed under: Gallus gallus (chicken)
Lineage: Eukaryota; Metazoa; Chordata; Aves; Galliformes; Phasianidae
Description: lncRNA (ENSGALG00010013865.1)
Source: RNAcentral
UCCCUUCCUCCCUUCCUCCCUUCCUCCCUUCCUCCCUUCCUCCCUUCCUCCCUUCCUCCCUUCCUCCCUUCCUUCCUUCCUCCCCCCCCUCCCUUCCUCCCUUCCUUCCUUCCUUCCUUCCUCCCUUCCUCCCUUCCUCCCUUCCUUCCUUCCUCCCCCCCCUCCCUUCCUCCCUUCCUCCCCCCUCACCCCCUCUCUCCCUGCCUUCCCUCUUUCCUUCCCUCCUCCCUUCCUUCCUCUCUUCCUCUUCCAUCCUUCCUCCCUCCCUCUCUUCUUUCCUCCCUUCCUUCAUUCUUCCCUCCCCUUCUUCCAUUUGUUUUAGUUCCUUCCAUUCAGAGAGCAUUGUCUUAUGACAUUACAGAGGACUUUUGCUUCUUCCUGGGAAACUGAGUUCCACAUUUGCAAGGAGGGGGCUGUGGGCAGCAGAAAGGGAAUACUUUUCAUUUGCUCCUACUGAAACUGUCUUAUGAAUCCCAAAAGUUUUAAGCUAGAUGUCAAUCAAAAGGCAGCAGCUUUAUGCCACUUACAUGCCUUCUGAAAGAGAUCUAUGUUUCUUAUAGUGGGGAAACAAACAAACAAACAACUGCCUGAAAUAGAUUUGGGAAUUUUGAAAUGCUGAAUUUAAUAUGUGAAGUCUGUACUGUUUGUUAGCAUUCAGAAUAAAGCGGUCUGAAAUGUCCUGCUGUCACAGCACAAAAUCAAGAGCACCUCUUCAUCUUCCCUCGGGCCAACAAAAGGGGACAGGAUUUUCAGUGAAACCCAGAUGUUGCUGUGAGUAAAUGUGUGCAUUUAUUAACAGAUAAUAGUGGAGGACUGCAAUUUAUAUCUGCAGAAGCUGAAAUAAUUAAGGAGGGUUGGGUAUUAAUGGAUGUAUGUUUUGAACAAUCUCAAAAACUUCUUUGUGUGGAAAAUUAAGAUCCUUGCUGAUAUUGAAAUAUCUCAGAUUGUUGUAAACCCAUGUUUCUAAUAUUUUAACUGGGAAUCACUUUCAUGGUCCGGCACUGCUGAUGCUGCCCCUUCAGAAGCCAGAAAAUGUCAGAUAUCUCAGUAUUUUCAGGAUUGUUUUGUUCCCAUUCAGGCUGACAGACAAAAAGGAGGGUUCUGAGGGAAGCUCUUAUUUCCUCCCUUCCCAUCUCCCUUUGCUCUUGCAAUAGCACCAUUGUACAGCACCGUUAUGCCAAAUUUUUUACAUAGAGACAGACUCGCCUGUCCCACAUUGUCAUUUCGACACUGUUUUUAACAAAGAUGUAUUUUCUGAGGAUCAUGUUUGAGAAUAAAUGGCUUUGGGUCUAGCACUAGUAAAAGAAGAAAAGCAAAUCCAAAGAACCCACUCAUUGAGUUCAGAGUAGCUACAGGGCAAUGCUGCAUCUUGCUUUUUAGGUGAAAUCUGCAAUUUUGUUUAUCCAGAGCAAUCUGUAACAGCUCUAUGGUAAAGCUGCUUUGAGGUUUAGUUUUGAAGUUUACUGCUCCCAGUUUUCAUUUAUUCCAUCAUAAUACAUGCAUAAAACAUUUUUAUUAUGUGGAUAGUAAUUUGCAUGAGCACGAGGACUUUAGCUCAAAUGCUCAUGAACAAGACUGUUCUUCAGUCGGGUCAACUGGAAGUUAUUCUGCUUUACUACAGGGCUUUCAGUUAAUUAAAUUCAAAGAACCUGUUCAACUGCUAAGGCCUGUUAUACUCCAGAUAAGGAAAAAAAUACAUUUUUUCAUCAGUCUCUGGGGACAGACACUGCUGAUGCUCCUCCUGCUGUAGCCACAAUACAGUGGGCCACAAUACAAGUGAAAAGGAGGAAGAAUGUCCUGCCCAAAGUAUUUCAGUGGGACAUACACGUCUGUGAUGAACACAGAAAGGACUAUUCAGAUGCAUUGUGUUAUAUGGAAUGAACUACAUUUCUGAUCUUCUAAUGCAAUUAAUAUUGUGCUCUGCAAGUAAUGUAAUUAACACAGGAAAAGAGGAGUGAACUGCAUUUACAGUAGAAGUGAACUUUACCUAAAAUUAUCAUUUCAGAAAAUUGACUGUUCUUCUAACUGUUGGUAAUUAUUUUUUCCUUUUUUUUCUUGAGUUCCUCUUUAUUUGGAUAGGUAAUAAAAUUAGUUUUGAUCCUGCACACUGAAGGAGAAACCCUAGUGGCCACAUUCUGACUCUACUUGAACUAGUGUAGGAGCUCAUACGGAAAAUUAAGUGAAAAUCAAUUAACAGUUGCCCCGGGCAUUUGAAACAAAUGCCAGGAAUCCCUAAAUGUUUCUCAGUUCUGUAUAAAUCAUAGCUGACAAGUGGUGGUAUCUCUGCUUCCACUGAAAAUUUGCUUUGUUACAGUGAAAAUUCUUUUAUUAUAUAUAGUUGCUGAUGUACAUAUAUAUAUGUAUUAACCGUCUACAUUUUCUCAUGUGCAUCUUCCAUAAAUCUCCUUUUGAGUCUCUUCCAAAGAAACUAACCUAUGCUUUUGAAGAAAAGAUGACUACCUGGUUGAAGAAAAGGAGUAAUGGAGAACACAUUCUUCAAGAUAUUGGAUAGUAUUCACUGCACCAUCAGGAGAUAUCUUUGUUUGGUACAAAGUGCUAAAGCCUUAAAAGACUAAAGCCGAACAAUAAUGAAUAGAACUGAUUUCCCAUCUUUGGAUUCUAGAGUGCUGACAUGGGAGUUUGAAGACGGUGGAAGGAAUCUAUGGACUGUAUUUACUGAUGUAAUUCAAUAAUUAAAGAUAAUUGUACAAUUUCUCUUAAGCUUGUUGAAAUUCAAGUUUUCUUUUGCUUUAGGCACGACCCAAAAAAUGUAAUAAUAUUUACCAUACUACCUAAUUUAUGUAUGUCUUUAAAUAGUUUACAAAGUGAAUUGAUAAUACAAAAAGUACCCAAAAUCAGAGAGAGAAUUUGUACAGAUUUAUACAAAUCCACGAACUUGAAAAGCCUGCCUUUGUCUCAGAACUUCUAUCUUUGUUUCAAAGAGAGAAACUGGUACAUUACGUAGAUAGGAGAAAAGGAACUGAAGGGUAUAGAUAAAGGAGAAAUGAGCUUAAAGCCUAAGGAAGAGGAAAAAAAUAUAUAAUACAAUCGGAGUGAUCAGAGAUAAAGAACAAGAAAAAAUCAUCAAGAGAUUUUUCUUGAAAGAGGAGGUAGAAUGGAGAUGUAUUUUGUAGGCUACUCUGUUGGAUUAAAGAAGGCCUGAAAUGAAAAGGUAUGUGCAACAAAGGCGUGAGGCAGAUGGAAGGCUUCUCUUCUUAUUUCCUAAGGCUGAGGGCUUCCAGUCCUUUUUGCAUUUGGCUAAUUGCAAAGUCUGCAAUCUCAAAGGGUCACAAUCAUUUUCAGCUUUUGCUGGUGAGAGACACAAAGCAGACAACACUGCACGUUGCUCCUGCUAUAAUAAGAUGUCAUUUCAUCAGGAGGAGUAGACAAAAGGAUAGAUUUUCCUCUUUCCUCUUUUCCUCUGUUUUGCUUUGGGAUAUAACAUUCAGUUUCUCUCUCCAGUUUCCUACAACAUCACAAGGCCAGUUUUUGCUUUGAACUUCAGUAAUAUCAAGUACCUUCCAUGUAAAUGGUGCUUGAGAUAUAAGCGUAUUGCAUGGCCUCUGAGAAACCAAGACCACAUGGAAACUGUUCCCCCCCAAUUUCUGCCAAUAACAUCAGAUUUUGCAUUGCUUCCCCAACAAGAACUGCCCUGUAUCAGAGGCUAGCUUUGUGCAGGGGCUGAUGGUUCUGUAUAGUUUGUGUUUGUGAGCCAUCAAAGGCUUUGAGUGGGAGAGAGGAAACGAUGAAGGAAACCUGGAAUCUGUGCCCAUACUGUUGCAACCUUUCUGAGUUUACUUUAAGAAUCUUUAUCCAGCUCUUCAUCUUUUCACUUUGAUCACUGUAACAUCUCUUCACCUUGGUUUCUAGCUUUUUCCUUUCCCCACACCAUCAAUCUGCACAGAUGCUGCUUUUUCCAGUCAGAGCCUCUUUUGGCAUUUUUGCACUUUACCUCCAUCUUAUUUCUGAACUUCUGUUUCUCUUGUUGUCCCUCGGUGACUGUGUUUUUGCAUGCUGUAGAGAUACUCAAUGCUUUUUUUUUCUGUGCCAUGUCCUCAUUCUAUUCUAUGACCUCUUUUGUGCUGCCUGUACUCCAGGAGUGCUGAGACAAACAGGCUGGGACAGAACACAUCUCUGUGCUCUUCCUGGGAGCACAUUUUAUUCCAGAAAAUUUGUUCUGCUGGUCUCACCUAUAUUUCUUCAAUUGUUUAAUAUUAAGCACUUAUCCAGCAGCGUGAAUUACAAUUAUCAUGAAUUAUACAACAUGGCAGUUUCUGCCCUGCUUUGCUCUCAUUUACAUAACUGCUAGACUGUAAUCACAUUUUGUCUUCCAGACAGAAAUCUUCCAGACUUCUCCCAGGUUUAAUUGGAGGUGCUUUGUAAACCUUUGAUGGUUAAGGACACCAGAUUUUGGAGUGAAAUGCUGGUAUCCCAGAAGCUUGAAAGCACAAAAGAAACAGCUUGUGGAAAAUCUGUGAAGUCCAUCUAUUUCUACAAUAGGAUUAUUCAUCACCACAUGUUUUCCCCAUCUGGAAGUAAAGGGACAAAAUGCUGAAACCACCACCGUCUCACUUGCAAAUUGCUCCACAGUCUAACCAGUCAUGCUAUUGAGAAGAUAUGCCUGCAGUUCAACCCAAAUUCUCUGUUGCUGUGUUUUGCACAUGUUCAACAAACUCAGCUUCCUUCUUGCGGUGAGGAGUACUCAAGAUGUGGUCUUAUCAGUGUCAAGCAUUGAGGGACAAGCAGAACAAUUCAAAGGCUAUGACUAUCCUUGAGACCUUGUAGCACCUGCACCUACAGAAACUGUCCACAGAGGCCUUACCGGACCAUGUUUUAUUGUCAUUGUUUCUGGGCAAAGGUUUUAUAAUGCAGCAGUGGAGUCCAUCUUGCUGAAGCAAUGGAGACAGAUAGUGAUGGAGCUGCCAGAACAACCUGUAAAUUAUCUGCCCUAAAAUCCUCAAAGAGCACUUUGUGCUGAAAAGAAGGCUGUUCAAGGCAGGAGGGGAAGAAUUUGAUCUUGCCUACAUUUGUUGUACAGGAACAGAAAGGAGGAGUGCUUUAUUCAUCAAGUGAACACAGCACUUUAAAAAUUCAACUAAGUCAAUAUAGGAAUACGUUUAAAAUGUAUUCACCUUCAGAGAGAGAUUUCCUGGACUGACAGAACUGCCAAUGGGUAUGAGUUAUUGCUUAGCAAAAGUUGCUGCAAAGGAUGCUGUACCCAUCACCUCUGUGAAGGGGUCUUAUGUGGAACAAGCUGCUAAGAAAGUUAUGGCCAACAGAAGUUCUGCCUUUGACUGGUGCUUUGGUAACUACCUGUGGGGAUAGUCUGCUGUUAUUCUAUUUUUCUUCCUUCUUUGUCAGAGAAAAUGGCAGUCUGGUGACAGUGUUCUUGAGAAUAGCAACUUCAUUCUACCAGGUUCUGCUGGUAGAGUAGAAGUGGAAAGUCCUGCCUGAGAAUGUGCAUUGUAGAAUCACUGCUCCCAAAGCUGGCAGCUCUGCCAAAACCCAGAACAUGAGUGCUUUGGGGAUGCCCUGGUAGAAACUUAGGUCAGUGCUGGCCUUGGGCCAUCCAGAGUAAGAUGUGAACUGCCUGGACUACGGCAUUACUGGGCAGAAAGAGUGUCUGAUCCCUUCAUGAUUUCAACUUCAGAUUUGCACACCUUAUAUUUACCUCUGAGUACUUUGUAGCACAGUUUGAUAUUUAUGCUUUGACUUUAAUUCAGAAAGAAUCUGGAGAGGAAUAAGAGAGAGGCUAAAAAUGUGCAAGACAAAAAAUACAUGUGUGAUUUCUGAAAUCUGACAGUGUUUAGGAGGGGAAAUAGAAGCUACACUGUUGAUUAUUUUACUUUAUUCUCCCAAUUGAAUGUGAUUUUUUUUGUUUUGUUAUUUUUUAUUUUUCUUUCUAUGCUAUGUAUGGAUGAUACCAGGCCAGUUCCUACCCAAAGGCUUGCUUAAGUGCUUUCAAUCUUACUUGCUUACCUUGCAUCUACAGUAACAAGGAUUCAGUUGUGAGUAAGCCUCAGCAUGUUACUUUAGUUCAAAUGAUUUCUAACUGGAAUAUCAGUGAAUCUUUACCUUCAGGUCAUCCGUGCUCUUUUGUAAGAAUGAAUUUCAGUAGCUUAAAAAUGCUCAGAGUUUGUGAAUGACAAUGAUAACUCACUGCUAUGAAACUUCCUGUAAGUGUGCACCCAUCUCCCUAAAUAAGUAGAAAUGGGUUUCAAAUAACAGGCUCUUCUGUUUAUAAGAGUGGUAAUUAGAAGUGCAUUAAGGAAACCCUCAUUUCAGAAGCAGGCGUAUUAUAUCUAUGAAGUUUCCUGCUUUUUUCCUUUUCUAUAUAUGUUUGAGGCUCCUGAUUGUCUAAUGAGAUUAGGGUAAAUUUGAAAUUAAUUGUAUCUUGUAUAUGUUUUUGAAAUAACAGGCAUAAAGCUACAUUAACUUGUUUCCAUUUGUGAAAGCAGCCUGUUUUCCUUGGUACGUAAGUAACUUCAUGGUUACUAAAGUCUUACUUAUACCCUUUGAAUUGUAUGAGCAAACCUUUCUCUAUUUUAUGUGUUCAUGAAGAUAUUGAAGAAAUAUCAGCAGCUUUGUAUGCAAGUAGAUGAGUGAAGUUGGCAUUUAAACUCUUGAAAAUUACAUAACAGCUACUAGUGUUAAGAAAUUAUAGAUAUGAUGAAGGAAGAGCUGUGAAUUUACAUUUAGAAAUUAACCCAGCUGGGUUUUGUGUGUGAGUGAAAGGUGAAGGAGAGAUAUUUUUAAAAGCUAUUAUUGUGCAUCAGCAAGGUGUGUGUCAUUAACUAAUUAUUUUGAGAAUGCCUUACUAAGACAGUGGUGGUAAUUAGUCUUUAGAUUUGUAGAAGGAAUGUGAUAUUCCUUUUAAUUGGGAAAGUUUUCCUGCCUCUGGGCACGCGCCCUGAAGUGGAGAGGGGGGGAGAGUAGAGGAGAAGGGAAAGUAGGAGGGGAGUGGAGGGAAGAGGUGAGGAAGGAAGGAGACUCAGUGGACUUUAAGAAUUGUCCAUCCUUUUCCAAAAUAGUCAGCAGUGCUACUGAAAAGCCUUCCUUCUGAAUGAUAUUAUCCUAUCCUAACAUUACUUUGAAGUUUUCUACCCCUAGAUGAAUUCUACAUUCAUUAAUGUCAGCAAGCCUUUUUUUUUUUCUGGACUAUUGAGGCCAUCUUUCCUGCAAAUGACCUUAACAGCUGCAAAGAGAAAAGAUAUGAUAACAUUACAUUAAAACACACACUAUGGUAGUUCUCUGAAAAUUUGGAGAUUUUGUUAGGUUUCUGGCUGAGUUUAUGAAUUUACUGUAUGCAAAGCUGCAAUGGAUUUUUCAGUUCCCUCCACUAGUUCCCCCAAGCCUCAGGUUAUGAGAGAAGAGCCAAAAAUGCAGGGCAAUGUUAAUUAUAGGAUAGCCAGAGGCAUUAUGUUCCCUCUUCCAAGCUGUUCUCAACAGUGACUUAUUGCCUCACUUCAGAGAACAAAUUAAGAUGCUCUGCAAUGAUGGAUCCCAAAAACUUGUUUGUCCUGAGAACCAAGGAAGAGAAAAAGGUGUGGCAAUCAGUGAAUGCACCAGAACACGUGAAGCUAGGGGGAUGUGAAAAUAUAAUGCUGAAAUACCCAGUCUAUCUUUCCUUCUCUGCCCUAACCUACAGGAGAAAUAAAAUCAGUUAUAUGUUUUGACUUUCUGUGAAAUAGAGGGAGCAUUAGACCUUCUGCAUUCAAGGGGGGAACCAUGGACAUAAGAAUAGCUGUUUAUCUUCAUUUGUGGUCUUGGAGAUGAAUAAGGAAUGAGUGACGAUGUGUAUUCACUACUGAGUACAUAACACAACUGUUCGAGAGAAGAUGCAGGUUUCCAAAAUCUACCAGCUGCCAUGCACUGGGCUAGUUUGGCAACGUCCAUCUUACCACUCGUGAAAGUAGGCCUUCGCAUAUUUGUGUAAUUCAGCAAAGGAUGUGGUCAAAUUAUUGCCUUUGUCUCUUUUUAUUCUGAAUUACCUCAAGAACUAAGGUCAAAUAAGGAAAAACUAUCCCACAGCAAAAGAGAGAAGAAGCAAAGACAUGCUGGUUAGCUUCUCACUGUCUGCUAAACUGCAUGAAGUCUACUUGAAAUCUCUGAUCUACACUAACAUACCAACUUAAAAAAAAUCCACAAAUGCUAUACCCUGCAACUAGAUAAGUAGGCAGCUGGGUUAAACUUGUAGAUAGUGAGUCAGGCUCCUCAGAUUCUGGGGAAGACUGAAGAUGAGAGGAAGCAGAGUAACUGCUGGCCCUUUGGUAUGGAACACAGGCAAAGUCAGGGGACAACAAUGGCAAAAGUUCCCUGGUCUAUGGGGUAUUUGGGACGUGAAUCCCCUUCCUGAGGGUGAAAGUGGUGCCUGAAAGAGUCAUGUACAGAGGUCAGUGCGUUAGGCUGGUGAGUGUCCAGGAGGAAACACUCCUGGAGGACAGCAAUACAAUAAGUUUAAGAAAAAAAAAAGGCCAGAACAUAAAUUCUUGCCACCCUUUAAAAUUUAACAAUAUUAAGCAUAAUCAUUUGGCAGUUCACUUAAUCUCAGUGGCAAAAAUAACUGGUUAUACGUUAUUAUUGAAGAUUAAAAUCUUAAAUCUUCCAUCAAGGCGGGGAGGGAGCAGGAGGUGCUAGAUAUGACUUUUGUCAUAUCAGGACCCUAAUGAAUUCUGCAAAAAAAGAAUUCUUAUGAAAUAUCCUUUCCAUUCAGCUAUUAUCUUUGGCUGUAGCAAUUACUCAUUUGCUCUAAACUGAAAUCCAACAACAUGAAGCACAGCUAUUCUCUUUCAAACUAAAAUCAGUAUUGGCAGGAUGACUGAAACUAUUUGCUUCCAUUAAAGGCAAAAUAUGUCCUAAGUGGUCACAAGUGUGCCAUAUUCCUCAGCUGUCAGUGCCUAAUUUGAAAUAUUUAAUUUAAAACAUUUUUAAAGCAGGCUGGUUGUCUCUGUUGCUCUGAGCUUACAUCUCCUACAUUCUAUUUCCAAUACCUGCCCCCAGAUCCAUUGGCUGCUUCUGAUGUGCUAAUGCAUUUAGAAAUGUGACUUUCCUCAUCUAUGCUAGACAAAAAGUCUAAUGCAAGAUCAUGUUGGUGAGUUCAUUCUAGAACACCAUCUUCUCUGGCCUUUUGUUAUGGGAGAAGCAACAGGAAGGAAACUGAGCUCCAACUACUGCUCCAGUAUGGUCAGCAAGAUGCACAGGAGGGAAAUUCUGUACCCAGCUUGUGGAAGGUGGAGGACUCUGCCCUUGCCCUUGUUGAACUUCAUCAGGUUUCUCUCCUCCCAGCUCUCCAGUCUGUCCAGAUCUUGCAGAAGGGCAGAGCAUCCUUCUGGUGUGUCAGCCAUUCCUCCCAGCUUUGUAUCAGUUUCACACUGAUAAAAGGGUCAAUGUACACUGGCUAUUCUUAGCCACUUUUUUCAUAAUUUGCAUUUAAAAAGCUAUCACAUGUCUUUUAAUUCCCUUGUUAUACACCUGUAAAUUCUCACUGUAUGUUUUGCUGAUAUUUAUCACCAAUGAAAGUUCA